Molecule: non-coding RNA, 95 nt
Organism: Mycena rosella
Lineage: Eukaryota; Fungi; Basidiomycota; Agaricomycetes; Agaricales; Mycenaceae
Source: the annotation of a GenBank genome assembly
UCGGAUAUGGCGCAAUGGAUAGCGCGGUCUCAUAGGGAAUUCUCCCGGGAUUGGGAUGAAAGAGGCAGAUCGAGGUUCGAUUCCUCGUGUCCGUC